This 1346-nucleotide ribosomal RNA is filed under the name uncultured bacterium. RNAcentral describes it as "partial 16S ribosomal RNA". It matches the Rfam family "Bacterial small subunit ribosomal RNA", at positions 28 to 1381 of the family's 1533-position model. The record is from RNAcentral.
GACGAACGCUGGCGGCGUGCUUAACACAUGCAAGUCGAACGGAAAGGCCCUGCUUUUGUGGGGUGCUCGAGUGGCGAACGGGUGAGUAACACGUGAGUAACCUGCCCUUGACUUUGGGAUAACUUCAGGAAACUGGGGCUAAUACCGGAUAGGAGCUCCUGCUGCAUGGUGGGGGUUGGAAAGUUUCGGCGGUUGGGGAUGGACUCGCGGCUUAUCAGCUUGUUGGUGGGGUAGUGGCUUACCAAGGCUUUGACGGGUAGCCGGCCUGAGAGGGUGACCGGCCACAUUGGGACUGAGAUACGGCCCAGACUCCUACGGGAGGCAGCAGUGGGGAAUAUUGCACAAUGGGCGGAAGCCUGAUGCAGCAACGCCGCGUGCGGGAUGACGGCCUUCGGGUUGUAAACCGCUUUCGCCUGUGACGAAGCGUGAGUGACGGUAAUGGGUAAAGAAGCACCGGCUAACUACGUGCCAGCAGCCACGGUGAUACGUAGGGUGCGAGCGUUGUCCGGAUUUAUUGGGCGUAAAGGGCUCGUAGGUGGUUGAUCGCGUCGGAAGUGUAAUCUUGGGGCUUAACCCUGAGCGUGCUUUCGAUACGGGUUGACUUGAGGAAGGUAGGGGAGAAUGGAAUUCCUGGUGGAGCGGUGGAAUGCGCAGAUAUCAGGAGGAACACCAGUGGCGAAAGCGGUUCUCUGGGCCUUUCCUGGCGCUGAGGAGCGAAAGCGUGGGGAGCGAACAGGCUUAGAUACCCUGGUAGUCCACGCUGUAAACGGUGGGUACUAGGUGUGGGGUCCAUUCCACGGGUUCCGUGCCGUAGCUAACGCUUUAAGUACCCCGCCUGGGGAGUACGGCCGCAAGGCUAAAACUCAAAGGAAUUGACGGGGCCCCGCACAAGCGGCGGAGCAUGCGGAUUAAUUCGAUGCAACGCGUAGAACCUUACCUGGGUUUGACAUGGAUCGGGAGUGCUCAGAGAUGGGUGUGCCUCUUUUGGGGUCGGUUCACAGGUGGUGCAUGGCUGUCGUCAGCUCGUGUCGUGAGAUGUUGGGUUAAGUCCCGCAACGAGCGCAACCCUUGUUCACUGUUGCCAGCACGUUAUGGUGGGGACUCAGUGGAGACCGCCGGGGUCAACUCGGAGGAAGGUGGGGAUGACGUCAAGUCAUCAUGCCCCUUAUGUCCAGGGCUUCACGCAUGCUACAAUGGCUGGUACAGAGAGUGGCGAGCCUGUGAGGGUGAGCGAAUCUCGGAAAGCCGGUCUCAGUUCGGAUUGGGGUCUGCAACUCGACCUCAUGAAGUCGGAGUCGCUAGUAAUCGCAGAUCAGCAACGCUGCGGUGAAUACGUUCCCGGGGCU